UGAGGGGGGCUGCUCCUAGUACGAGAGGACCGGAGUGGACGCAUCACUGGUGUUCGGGUUGUCAUGCCAAUGGCACUGCCCGGUAGCUAAAUGCGGAAGAGAUAAAUGCUGAAAGCAUCUAAGCACGAAACUUGCCCCGAGAUGAGUUCUCCCUGACUCCUUGAGAGUCCUGAAGGAACGUUGAAGACGACGACGUUGAUAGGCCGGGUGUGUAAGCGCAGCGAUGCGUUGAGCUAACCGGUACUAAUGAACCGUGAGGCUUAACCUUACAACGCCGAAG
RNAcentral lists this ribosomal RNA (280 nucleotides) under Escherichia coli. RNAcentral's name for it is "partial 23S ribosomal RNA". It matches the Rfam family "Bacterial large subunit ribosomal RNA", at positions 2663 to 2925 of the family's 2925-position model. The record is from RNAcentral. Lineage: Bacteria; Pseudomonadati; Pseudomonadota; Gammaproteobacteria; Enterobacterales; Enterobacteriaceae.